Octodon degus (degu) is the source of this 924-nucleotide RNA transcript. It is a transcript of the gene named plasminogen activator inhibitor 1 RNA-binding protein pseudogene, with no coding region annotated. Lineage: Eukaryota; Metazoa; Chordata; Mammalia; Rodentia; Octodontidae. The record is from RefSeq and is a predicted model, not a curated record. The transcript is spliced from 2 exons.
CUUGUGGGAAGAGCUGAAGCAGGCGCUCUUGGCUCGGCGCGGCCCGCUGCAAUCCAUGGAGGAACGCGCCGCCGAGCCACCAUCAUGCCUGGGCACCUACAGGAAGGCUUCGGCUGUGUGGUCACCAACCGAUUCGACCAGUUAUUUGACGACGAAUCGGACUCCUUCGAGGUGCUGAAGGCAGCGGAGAACAAGAAAAAAGAAGCCGGCGGGGGCGGCGUUGGGGGCCCCGGAGCCAAGAGCGAGGCUCAGGCCGCGGCUCAGACCAACUCCACCGCGGCGGGCAAACAGCUGCGCAAGGAGUCCCAGAAGGACCGUAAGAACCCGCUGCCGCCCAACGUCGGCGUAGCGGACAAGAAAGAGGAGGCGCAGCCGCCCGUGGCGCUGAAGAAAGAAGGAAUAAGACGUGUUGGAAGAAGACCUGAUCAACAACUUCAGGGGGAAGGGAAAAUAAUUGAUAGGAGACCAGAACGGCGACCACCUCGUGAAAGAAGAUUUGAAAAACCACUUGAAGAAAAGGGUGAAGGAGGAGAAUUUUCAGUUGAUAGACCUAUUAUUGACCGGCCUAUUCGAGGACGUGGUGGCCUUGGAAGAGGGCGAGGUGGCCGUGGCCGUGGCAUGAGCAGAGGAGAUGGAUUUGAUGCUCGUGGCAAGCGUGAAUUUGAUAGAAAAAAGUUGAGUUGGACAAGCAUAAAAAGGUCACACAUGUCCUGCACCAUCCCUUCCCAGUCACCGGGAACGCGAAGAACCACGAAGCAUUCAGGGGCAGCGCUGCAGGAGCCAGCAGAGCUCCAGCUCGGAGCGCACCGGUCUGGACAGCUCCGGGUGCUGAAGUUGCACCGGCUCGGAGCACCGGCCGCUGCCUUCCCGCCGCCGCCCCGGGCAGCCGGGGCGCUCGGCCGAGGGACUUCCCGAGGGGGCUGA